GGGUUAGUAACUCAGUUGGUAAGAGUGUUGGUUUGUCAUACCAAAAGUCGUGGGUUCAAGUCCCAUCUAGCCCG
This is a non-coding RNA of Naegleria fowleri, 74 nucleotides long. The record is from the annotation of a RefSeq genome assembly. NCBI's taxonomy places the organism in Eukaryota, Heterolobosea, Eutetramitea, Acrasida, Naegleriidae.